UUCCGGUUGAUCCUGCCAGACCUGACUGCUAUCGGAUUGAUACUAAGCCAUGCGAGUCAUUGUAGCAAUACAAGGCAGACGGCUCAGUAACGCGUAGUCAACCUAACCUAUGGACGGGAAUAACCUCGGGAAACUGAGAAUAAUUCCCGAUAGAACACUAUACCUGGAAUGGUUUGUGUUCCAAAUGAUUUAUCGCCGUAGGAUGGGACUGCGGCCUAUCAGUUUGUUGGUGAGGUAAUGGCCCACCAAGACUAUUACAGGUACGGGCUCUGAGAGGAGUAGCCCGGAGAUGGGUACUGAGACACGGACCCAGGCCCUAUGGGGCGCAGCAGGCGAGAAAACUUUGCAAUGUGCGAAAGCACGACAAGGUUAAUCCGAGUGGUUUCUGCUAAAGGAACCUUUUGUUAGUCCUAGAAACACUAACGAAUAAGGGGUGGGCAAGUUCUGGUGUCAGCCGCCGCGGUAAAACCAGCACCUCAAGUGGUCAGGAUGAUUAUUGGGCCUAAAGCAUCCGUAGCCGGCUCUGUAAGUUUUCGGUUAAAUCUGUACGCUCAACGUACAGGCUGCCGGGAAUACUGCAGAGCUAGGGAGUGGGAGAGGUAGACGGUACUCGGUAGGAAGGGGUAAAAUCCUUUGAUCUAUUGAUGACCACCUGUGGCGAAGGCGGUCUACCAGAACACGUCCGACGAUGAGGGAUGAAAGCUGGGGGAGCAAACCGGAUUAGAUACCCGGGUAGUCCCAGCUGUAAACUAUGCAAACUCAGUGAUGCAUUGGCUUGUGGCCAAUGCAGUGCUGCAGGGAAGCCGUUAAGUUUGCCGCCUGGGAAGUACGUACGCAAGUAUGAAACUUAAAGGAAUUGGCGGGGGAGCACCACAAGGGGUGAAGCCUGCGGUUCAAUUGGAGUCAACGCCGGG
RNAcentral lists this ribosomal RNA (914 nucleotides) under uncultured Nitrososphaerota archaeon. Its description in RNAcentral is "bacterial SSU rRNA". It matches the Rfam family "Archaeal small subunit ribosomal RNA", at positions 1 to 922 of the family's 1478-position model. The record is from RNAcentral. Lineage: Archaea; Thermoproteati; Nitrososphaerota.